GACGAACGCUGGCGGCGUGGAUUAGGCAUGCAAGUCGAACGGUAUCAUCCUUUCGGGGGUGAGAGAGUGGCGAACUGGUGAGUAACACGUAGGUUAUCUACCCUCAAGACGGGGACAACCCAGGGAAACUUGGGCUAAUACCGGAUGUGAGCAACUUUUAGUUGUUUGAAAGGUGGCGUAAGCUGUCGCUUGGGGAUGAGCCUGCGUCCUAUUAGUUAGUUGGUGAGGUAACGGCUCACCUAGGCAAUGAUAGGUAGGCGGCCUUAACGGGUGGUCGCCCACACUGGGAUUGAGAUACGGCCCAGACUCCUACGGGAGGCAGCAGUCGAGAAUAGUCUACAAUGGUCGGAAGACUGAUAGUGCGACGCCGCGUGAACGAUGAAUCCCUUCGGGUGUAAAGUUCUUUUAUAUGUGAGCAGUGCUUCUUAUAUUAACAGUAUGGGGAGAGAGAUAUUAGCAUAUGAAUAAGCAACGGCUAACUCCGUGCCAGCAGCCGCGGU
Molecule: ribosomal RNA, 500 nt
Filed under: uncultured bacterium
Lineage: Bacteria
Description: bacterial SSU rRNA
Rfam family: Bacterial small subunit ribosomal RNA
Source: RNAcentral